GACGAACGCUGGCGGCGUGCUUAACACAUGCAAGUCGAACGGAAAGGCCCUGCUUUUGUGGGGUGCUCGAUUGGCGAACGGGUGAGUAACACGUGAGUAACCUGCCCUUGACUUUGGGAUAACUUCAGGAAACUGGGGCUAAUACCGGAUAGGAUCUCCUGCUUCAUGGUGGGGGUUGGUAAGUUUCGGCGGUUGGGGAUGGACUCGCGGCUUAUCAGCUUGUUGGUGGGGUAGUGGCUUACCAAGGCUUUGACGGGUAGCCGGCCUGAGAGGGUGACCGGCCACAUUGGGCCUGAGAUACGGACCAGACUCCUACGGGCGGCAGCAGUGGGGAAUAUUGCACAAUGGGCGGAAGCCUGAUGCAGCAACGCCGCGUGCGGGAUGACGGCCUUCGGGUUGUAAACCGCUUUCGCCUGUGACGAAGCGUGAGUGACGGUAAUGGGUAAAGAAGCACCGGCUAACUACGUG
Molecule: ribosomal RNA, 468 nt
Filed under: uncultured bacterium
Lineage: Bacteria
Description: partial 16S ribosomal RNA
Rfam family: Bacterial small subunit ribosomal RNA
Source: RNAcentral